Molecule: long non-coding RNA, 2735 nt
Organism: Pezoporus occidentalis (night parrot)
Lineage: Eukaryota; Metazoa; Chordata; Aves; Psittaciformes; Psittacidae
Exons: 3
Source: RefSeq, a predicted model, not a curated record
UGCACCUAACCUUUGGUGGCGUCCCAAGGAACUGGUGUCAGUCCAUGUUCUUCACCAUUCCCAAAGGUCUCGAGCGGUGUUUGCUUUGGCAGGAAGCUCCCAGGGCAGGAGUACGCACUGUUAAACUGCAUUGCAGACUCUGCUGGUAAUACAAAAGGUGGACACAUCAUUGUAGGGUCCAUCUGUAAUAAUUUGCUCUUGCUGGGGAGAAAAAAUGUAACUGGAGCCAUCAAAUAGUGUUGGAGACUAAGCAUUUAGUUUCUGAUGGAUGACUCUGUGGAUGUGAUAAAUGUUAGAAUGGUUGCAGCAAUAAUGAUUCUGUGUUGUCCAGGAGUUGCAUUAAUUUAAUUAGGUUUGUACUGGAGUCUGAGAGGACCUGCCUCUAAACGAUGUCUUAAGCAGCCAACAUACACUGGGAGGUGUACAAAAGAUAGGAGGUGUGUGGCAGGGUCUGUCUUUUUUUACUUCAUAGACAAUAAAUUCUAGAUCAAAGCGAAAACAAGCAAUGAUAUGUGUAAUUUUUUAACAGAAACUCUAUAAAUAUUCAGUGCUGCUGUUUGGCAACAUUAAGAAAUCACUGAAAAAUGCAGUCAUUGCUAAAUGUGUUCAUUUGAGUGGUUUGCUGUUACAAAUGUGAAUCUUCAAAGGCCGUGAAACUUAACAAUAGCUUCCCAGUAUUAGACAGAGAGUUAAUUAUAACAUUUAUCACACAAGCAGGGUAAGUAAAACAAACCCGUAUACCUCUUUAGUUUUCAGCUUGUUGAGUGAAUGCUGUCAGAAGGAAUUUUCCUCAAUGCAUGUGCUUGGUGAUGUUAUCAAAGUGUCUGUCAGGAAAAGCACUUUAAUACUCUUCAGAGGCCUGAGCGAGUGCACUGGGAUUGGUAGAGACAGUGACAGAGGUGACUAGGCUUCUACUGGAUAAGCAUCUGCAUCACCAACAGCGUGUGCUGGGAGUCUCAGCAAAGGCACCAUCCAGAAGUAAUCUCCUCCUUUUUAUAGUACAGCAUGAAUGCAAGACAGAGCACUGAGUGUCUUCCAUCACAUGGUGUAUUGGUGAGAAAAGAAAUGGCCCCAUUUUCAAGAAGGCAAAUGACACCACGUUUUGUUUUUUUCCUCACAUAAUAAAUAAUCUUCCCUGUGUGGUCUGGCCCAGGAGUGGUGACUGUAUAAGCAACAAUUCAAUGUUUUUAGAGAGAUCUAUGGCUUUAUUUAUUUUUAACUAGUAAUGGUGGCUUGAUUGAUUAUGAACAUCGUGUGUAAUGAAUCUUGCCACCACCAGCAUAACUUCUCCAGAGAAAAUGCCUGUGUGGGUUCAGCUGACCAUUAGGCCCUGACUGCUUGGCCUCUCCAAACCCAGGAUGAGAAGGAAAAUCCUAGCAAGGUAUCAGCAAGGACCAUGAUGUUUUCUGUUACCUUUGCCAUGGGUUGCAGCACGUUUUUACACGAUGCUCGUAAGGGGGAGUUCCCUGAUGUGGGAUAACAGCGGCAUGCACUGAUGAAGUGACAACCUCUUGGUAUCCUUGUAAAAUUCCACCCAGUUAAAGGGAACUGGAGAGGAGAUAUAUGGCUAUUAAAGUAAAACAUAACUGCCUGUCAGGGAAAAGUAGUGACAACAUGCACCAAAAGCUCUGCCAUCUAAUGCCUGUCAGCAAGAGCGGCUAGUCUUUAACAUUGUUCAUGUUCCUCAACGAAUGUGCUUGAAUUGGCAGAGACAAGGAUGGAGUUGACACGGGCAGGUUCUGUCAGCUCAAAUCCAGAGGUGAACUGUGUGUAUCUGAAACCCGGUCCUGACAGCUGCAUCCAGGAGCAGGCAUGUUUAGGAAGCGGGGAGCUGUGGGAGGGCAGGGGAGGGACCAGUCUGAGCUUCACCAUCUCCCAUAGAGGCAAUGUCCGCUUUGAGCAGAAAAAGCAAGGGGGCAGGGAGAGAGAGGGAACAACAAAAAACAGUGCCUAUUAUGUUUCAUGUCAAUGUUGCUGUCAUUAGGUAGUCGAGAAGAUUUCAAACAGAUAAACUCCCCUUUGGUAUGGCAGACCGCCUUGGCAGCCAAUUUUAGGCCUUGAUUUGAUUGAUAAACUCUUUGUGACAAGGAAGGAUAAAAGAGGCCCCUAGUUUGGUACAUAUAAAUAGGAAAUUAGCUGGCAAAGUUGUCAAAGAUAAUUAACUCUCUUAUUCUGUGUGUCUAUUCAGGUUGACAUACUGAAAUUAUUUAGAAAUGCACAUGUCAACGCUCUGACAGAAUUUGGUGCUGAUCAGAUAAACAGUUUUUGAGAUGCCUGAUUGUAAAAUGAUGUAAGAGCUUAGCUGGUGGUUUUAUCAUUAUGCAUUCUCUUAGCAGCAGCAGGUAUCAAAUGGCAACACCAUCCUUUAAUGUGCUAGAUUCAGAGAUCAGGAGACAAAGUUAAGCACGCUACUUCACAGCACUCAGCUCUCCUGUUUUGUUCCUUGCCCCCUGGGUUAAAAAAAUACUAAUAAUGUGCUAAAUUUCUGGGAGUUCAUGGGCUCCUCAUCCUUUCCCCAGGUACAAUUGGAAGUAAAAAGAUAAGGGUCUAUGGGAUAAGAGGUCUGAAAGCCAUGGCAUUUUGUUACUUCUUCAGAAGAGAUAAACUACUCACUGCUAUAAUCCCUGUCUCAAAGACUGGCAAGGUUAGGAAAAUGCAACAGGAAAAAAAACAGUGCCUCUGAACAACGUCUUUAUAGUGGCUCCUAUUAAAGCAAUGACAGAGAACGACAAAUA